RNAcentral lists this ribosomal RNA (6935 nucleotides) under Triticum aestivum (bread wheat). RNAcentral describes it as "partial small subunit ribosomal RNA". Lineage: Eukaryota; Viridiplantae; Streptophyta; Magnoliopsida; Poales; Poaceae. The record is from RNAcentral.
GAGGGGGCGGUCGGUGAGAGAGCGGUAAAAAAAGGUAGAAACGGUUGUAUAUCGUGACGGCCGAUCUAGAAGCUGGUAGAGAAAAGGUUCGGUGAGUAUCAUACGUGGAGCAAGGUAUAAGACAACUCGAAAGAUGAAGGGCAUACUUCUUUCCGUCUCCCGGAACAACUCUGACACGAGAGCAGUCUCAACUCUAAAAGGAACCACCUCUACCUAUAAGACCAUAUAAUUAAGACCCGCUUCUACCUUUUGUAACUUCCACGGAGGCGUAGGAGACCCGGCCGCUAGCUACUAGGACUAAGACGAAGAUAACUCCGUCGCUACCCUCAAGGACAUUGACAAUACAACCCCGGGUACACGUGGGAAGAGGUCUUUGAGGUAAGCGCUUACCGAGGACCUGUCUCAUACCGCGGUCUAGACGAGCCGAACUUUCUUCAGAAAGAAGAGUCACUAUCGGAGGUCCUUUAUACGUAGAGGGAAUUCUUAUACAGACUGCUCCUGGGAUCGAAGUACCAAGUCACCACCCACUUUUAUCAAGCGCUUGAAACGAUACUGUGCCUUCUAGUGGACCUGCUCCAGAUGAUGCGGCCCUGGGUAGUACUAAAAAGUCUUAAUGAACGAGCACACCUCCUAAACUCACUUUCGGCGUUUACAAACCUCACCAGAGGAGCAUCCUGAUAGCUUGGUCGACUGGACCCCUUUUGGUUACAGUCGGCGGCGUGAAGGGAGGUCGACGUCCAAGGGGAGGGACAGGUACACCUCGGCGGUUUAUUAGAACAUCUCGACGAGCUAAAUCUGUUGUUGCUCUUCCGUGAGUUCCACUAUGGAUAUGUACCUACACGUCCACAACCUUUCUGUUGUCGACGGUCUCGUAACAUAGUGUCCUUACGUCCCUCUAAAGUCACGGCCCGAAAACAUUGACACAGUGCCUUAGGUCUAUACUCCCCCAAAGAGUGGUCGUACGAAAGCGUUGAAUUACGUGGUGUUGGGGUACCAAAAGGACUACACGUACUGGAAUAACUACGAUAGUCGCUUGUAGACGUUACGUUUUCUAUGAAGUAGCAUUAACUACUAAAUACCUGAAGUAAUCAUACCUUAUAAUAAUCGGCACGAAAAGAUGCUACACUAAGAACGUCAUCUUAUUAUUGUUGUUGGGUUUAACUACUACAUCGUAACCGUACGUCGUCAAUACUGAGUUUUAUAUAUAUAUUCUACCUUGGAGAAUUACUAGUACUCAGAUCUUUCAAUAAGAAACCAUCUCACAAACCGAGACUUCUACUAACGGGUUAUCUAUACUUCCUUCAAAGUAUACUAUAAUAAUUCUUCACGUCACCAGACGGUAAUCGUUAACAUUUAUAUUGGUCAGACAAUCGUUCACUUAGUUGGCUGGAUUCCCUUUACACCCUCGUGUAUGUUCUAAGCAACGGCAGGUGAAGUCCUCUGUCGUAUCUACGAGGACUAGAAAACACGUCGUACGAAGGCGUGAAGGACAUGUUGUCGGAAGGUGGAACAAACUCCAGUACGAACGAUAUAGAAUCAUACAUAAGUCUCCCGGUCCACUAGUUGUUCCUACUCAACCGCUUCGACACCCGUCAACUUCCAAAAGAGUCACGACAACCUCCCGCUCUGUGUGUUCUUUAACGACUCCUAAUAAAACUAUUCGAACAGUCCUCUCCAUACCAGGUCCGGCACCUGUGGUUGUUAUUGCCGCUCCACAACAGUACAUGUUAAGUGGUCUAUCAAGACCUAAAAUAGUCCGAGUUUAGACACCUCCUUUUAAAGCAGUAUUUACACCUGGUAAAGGUUAGUAGAGAGCGUGAAGGACUAUUUCAAGCGGCUAAUAGGCAGGUCAAACCUCCCCAUUUUUCGCGUAUAUAUGGCCUUUCGUAGCAUUGUAGUGUUCAAGCUAGCGAAUAUAAAACCCCAAAGAUGUUCACACACGGAAGCUAAUACCUGACACCCGAAGAAGCAUAAGACUAAGAAGUAUAAACCCGACUACUUCUCUUGCUCUCAAAACUGGAGUGACCUUAGCCUCUCGAUAAAGACGACUUCAUAGAGCUCUAACUUACGUUAUAGUGACAGUUUGAAGGUCUCUUUCUGUAAUAAGGUACCGACGUUGUGAACCUCUGUGAGGUUCAUCUACGUUCUAAUAGACGACAAGGUAGUGUAUAAUAGUUAUACUUCUCUAAUGACGUGGAGGCAGAAGGUUCGCUCAUAUAAGACUCGUCAUGUCAACGAGUUUACUAUAGUGAAGCGUGUGACCCGAUAAAACUACAAUCGUCAGUGUGUCAUCCCCUACAAAAUCUAGACCCUCUCGACUGGUUAGAAGUCCUAGAAGUCGAGUGGACAAGAUACCAUGUAGGAUCUCUUUUAGAACUUUCUUUAGAAGUUACGGAUCCGAGCUAAGAACUCUUUGAUUCUCAGAACGUCAGUUAUUGAGACCAUGAUCAAAGAAGUCCGAGGAGAACACAUUUAUAAGAACUGUUUCCGAAGUCCUACCGCAGAGGAGGAUCGGGCCUGGACGGAGAAGCCUUCUAGCUCGACAGUACCGCAACAACGUAGAAGAAGUCGGACGGAUUCACCAAACCUCUUGACUCCUUGGAGACGUAAGAUUUCUAACGUUAAUCCUCUGACAGCUACUUACUGUGACUAUACGACUUUCCUGACGGAAGGGAGUGAAGAGAGUGGGAUAUAUAGGUCUAUCAAAGACUUCUUUUCUAGCAGUAGCUGCUACCCCCUAAGGUUCAUGAGUGGAUGAAGUUCAAGUACACAAGACGUGGUAUGGAUAGGAAAGAAGUUCCUCGUUACGGGUCUCAGGUCUUCGAGUUCUAUCCCAAGUUAAAAUUGGUUACCUCUAGUGUAAGGAAACCUUGUUAACCAAAGGGAGUGAACUGUCCGGACUGUCUCCAGAGGCAUUUUGAACCCCAAGCUUUACGACUACUUCUUAAACUGUUUUUUCGACGUGCCAGACACCUCCGACGGCAUUCCACAGUGGCCUUGUGAGAAUAUGAGUCUAAUGUUACGUACCUAUACUAAAAACUACCGUGACUCCUAUUCGAAUGGUGCCGGCUUCUUCUUCUCUUUUUUGCACUCCUCUAGGUCUUUCCGUUCUUUUUCUACUACCUUGCAAACCUCCCUAUAGACUUGUUCGUUAAUCACCUAUCGUCUAUACGCUCUUUUCUAGGUGACUGCGUAGUACGUGUUAGUAAGUUGCAGCACUGCCCGCGGUACUUGAGGGAGGAGGGGUUCGACGAACUGGAGGAGCUCCUGCUCACGUGCGACGUCUUCCCGUAGUUCUUCGAACAGCUGAGGGAGAUGUACCUUGACCUCCGAGACGUUCGACGAGAGGCACUCCACCGCUUCGACCUCCGAUUUGUUGAUCUACUCCACGAGUUAUGCACCCGGUCCCUACAUUCCCUGGAGAGCGUACUUCGACUCCUAUAGCAGCUAAGGAAUCGUCACGCGCAGCUCCCGAGACUAGGACUUUGUUAUGAUUUCCGGCCAUAACAACUAUAGGAAUCAGGAUCUUGGAGACGCAACGAGUCGUCUCCCUUCCGGGCGGUACUCUAGAGACUACGGUAGCUACUGUACUACAGUUUCCAGGUCCUAAACCGGCGGGCUGAACUCUCUAUGUUCCAGCCGCGGGUGUGGCGAGGAUUAGGUUUACGGCGUCAAUCGAAACUGUGAGGGAACAGCCUACACAUGUUUAUGGGGUUUCUAUACCAACGGUAUUUCCAAGGUUCCCUGCUCCACUAUUACUACGACUGUCUACCUUUACACUAGUUCUUCGACUUCUAUCAGAGAUAAGAACCUUACCCUCCUAACCCCUUCUGGUGAGAACAAUUUCGUCACAUACUGUUCUAAGCUGACGUCAUACUCAUGUGCCGAAAGCAAAGUCAUAGAUCCAUAGGACUAUACUGCUUUCAAAACUACCUCUAGGAAAAGGUUUAACUGUUCGUUUUGACAUCCUUAGAGUCAAACGGUUUUAAUCUACUAGUAAUGGAAUAACUACUUUAGUCCUCUGAUGAAGUCUUGUUCUCUAUGAACUAGCGAUAACUAUUAUAUACGCUACACUUAUAGACCCUUUAUUAGUUCGACCGAAAGCAACUAUUACCUAAACCUUCAUCUCAUCAGUGUUGAUGAGCCUAAGUGGACCACCGGUCCUUCCCUCCACUUCAAAUGGUCGAUUUUGUUGAAUGACUACUCGUUAGUUCUCUUAAUAAGUCACGUUCUGACAAGUUACCACUGUUUUUACAGGGAGUGUAGUAUCCCCUCCACGGUUGAUUCUAAAACAGCUUUACACUACCACAUGGUGACCGAUAGUAUUGUCGUCGAUCAAACAACCAGCCUUUUAGUUGCUUACUAACAAGGUUCCACAUGUUGUUAUAACUAAAGCCCAGACUCAAACUUCUGUUGUGUUCUUUCUAUGACUUUAGAUUGAUAAUGCUAGAAGGAAUAGUGAACUCCCGUACAAAUAACGUAGAUGUGUACAAAGUUCUCCUGACAUAUUAGUCCUUUCUUCGAAACUACACCUUUACCCGUCGGCUUCCAAAUUGACGUCUCCAUGGACCUUUUCCAAAUAAACUCGAACCUCUCCCUAUGAACUUCCUUGAGUAUUUGUCUUUGGACCAGUACGCCCAACUCCUGCUGAGUUUAGGACCCUUCCAUUAACCGACGACACAGGUACUAAACCAAGAGCUAUACUAGACAAGGAAUAGUUGACUUCUUUUGAAAUAAUGGUAUGACCUAUCAUUGUUCGUUCUUGGGGGACAGCUUUCGUUCUGAGCGUCCAAUCGACAGGUUUUUACCCUGUGCCUCGUCCCGCUGGGAGACCGAUUGUAAGCGGGUCUUUCCGACUCCAGUAAAUUGUGGUACCCCACAGUAAACUCAUACCUUGAUAGUCAAAGUUCCAAAUUCGACUACGCACAGGAACGAGACCUUCUUACAUGCAACAAACUACCUUUAGAAAGAGUAGAUCCCUUCAAUGAAGACAACUCCAUGGAGCCUAAUAUAUUCUGUGGAUAGUUUUUCGAUGGCCUUCUGUAUCCACUGGACUAAAUAGACGUCUGUGACCUGGACUCCCCUUGUUCACACUUUCUUAACGGUCUCUCUCACCGACCCAAUGCCGUUGAGUUCACGGACGCUCGACUAUUUCCGUGUCGUCACGGCCUAACCUACCUUUUAGAAUGUAGGAAUCUUCUCAACGCCGACCCGCUCCAGUCGUCCAGGCGUCUGAAGUGCUGACUCGACCCGUUUGACUGUCCCGACUCCCUUGAACUCUAAACCUAACUGCUCAACCUAUUCUUGGUUUUGUUACGAAACCACGACAGAUACUCUUUUGAUCUCUUUUAUGUUCAGGAUUCUUAAUACCCGUUAUCCACCUGUAGUCCCUCACUUGAAUUAACCCUUCUGAAGAUGGGUGGACAUGUUGAGGCACUCAAUGUGGAUAGUUCGUAGGGUACGGGAGCCGACGGGUUUGCCUAGUGGCAGAGGGCACAAGGUUACGAGAGAGUGAAUAGACACAUGCAUUUCCGGUAUUUCCUCCUCCUAGACCUAGAGGAACCCCGUAACGGUGUCGAGUAGUCAGACCUCGACGAUAGCGACACCCUGCGGCAGGCGCUUUAGUUCCCACCGCCACGCAAGGGUUCCAACUUCAAGAAAUUGUGCAAGAGUGGUAAGUUCAAAGAUGGUCCCCGAUACGGUUCUGAACGUUAGGAAGUGAAGCGUGAUGAGUAGUGAAGGGCCCCCGGUGAUCUAUUUAAGUUCCAAUUAAAACUUUUAAUGAAACAAUUGAGCUACAACCCCUUGGAGGAAAGUGAACUCUUUCACCUUCACUCUGGGGAACUACUGCAGCUCCACUACACACUUCGUCACUCCGCACCUGACCUGGUUGUAGGCUUGUCAGGUUCGGAAGUAUAGAAUUUUAUUACUAGCCCACUCAAGACACAUGACUUCCGAAGCUACAAUUGGUACAGUGGUCGAAGUCCUGGUGGACUAGGAGUAAGGAACUCGAAUCAAGAACGAACCUCCUUUUUGUUCUUUUUUUUUCCUUUUGUCAAUAAAUGAAUACCUGAAGCUCACGAUACAAUGGACAAAGGAUCGAGUUCCCUAUCCAGAAAUACAACGAAUGAAUAAAAGGUUUUAUUUUUCACGUUUUUUUUAAUCACACAGGAAAUCACCUUUUGAUACAAAUUUUACCUAGCUCAACGAGCAGAUCACCCUCAUCAGGGAACGGAAUAAUAAACCGGCUCAAUUUUUUGUCCUCUUUUUCGGAUGUUUUUUAUACAAGGAUCAACAAUAUGUUUACACAGAAAAAGAAAACCACCACAAGACCCAUACCCCACAACCAACCUUUGAGGCGGAUACGGUUAAGAUUCCGCUGUGUAUAACGGCGCAUCGGCCAAGGUUCGGGCCUCUUUCCUCCUCCUGGUCGGUACAUUAUCCAAUUCCUCCUUCCCUACAUGAAUACGUUACUAGUUUGGUAACAUGUGAUACACCACAUCGACGAGGUGUUAAACAAGGAUUGAUGAGCUACUCGAACUGUUAGACACCUUAAAUUUUAAAUAUCAAAUGAAGCUAGAUACUUACACCGGUAAGUAAGACCGUCGUAUUAGAGGCCUCCCUCAUGGCUGGUAACAAGUUCCGCCACACAUACGCCAACCUCGCCCAUCGGAGCUUCCAAAAAUCAGUUGUACUCACCGUCGUAUUAGAGGUAUAGCCAGGUGGUGGAGGAAGCUGUAUCCGUCUCAUAGCCAAAAUAUACUGAGAUGAAAACGACUAUACAGCCAAAAAGUAAAAUAAAACAGACAACUACAAAAACAACAGACGCAGAAUCAAUAUGUCUCUGGUCCACAACUAGUAGUACGAAACAUAGGUGAAUUACGAUGUAAACCUCAAUUAUUUUUCGUGAGAGAUAUUUUUUUACUUAAACGGUU